GUUGGCCUACGGGGCGCAGCAGUAGGGAAUUUUCGUCAAUGGGCGCAAGCCUGAACGAGCAAUGCCGCGUGAACGAGGAAGGUCUUCGGAUCGUAAAGUUCUGUUGAAGGGGAAAAAGAGCGGAGAGAGGAAAUGAACUCCGAUUGAUAUUACCCUUCGAGGAAGUCACGGCUAACUACGUGCCAGCAGCCGCGGUAAUACGUUGGUGGCGAGCGUUAUCCGGCAUGAUUGGGCGUAAAGGGUGCGUAGGCGGCCUGCUCAGUCUGGAGUGAAAGGAACCGGCACAACCGGUACAGGCUCUGGAA
RNAcentral lists this ribosomal RNA (305 nucleotides) under uncultured bacterium. RNAcentral's name for it is "bacterial SSU rRNA". It matches the Rfam family "Bacterial small subunit ribosomal RNA", at positions 333 to 631 of the family's 1533-position model. The record is from RNAcentral.